This is a non-coding RNA of Podarcis lilfordi (Lilford's wall lizard), 66 nucleotides long. NCBI's taxonomy places the organism in Eukaryota, Metazoa, Chordata, Lepidosauria, Squamata, Lacertidae. The record is from the annotation of a GenBank genome assembly.
GGAUAGCUCAGUUGGUCAAGCUUGAGACUCUUCUCAGGGCUGUGGGUUUGAGCCCCACGUUGAGCA